Molecule: ribosomal RNA, 468 nt
Filed under: uncultured bacterium
Lineage: Bacteria
Description: partial 16S ribosomal RNA
Rfam family: Bacterial small subunit ribosomal RNA
Source: RNAcentral
GACGAACGCUGGCGGCGUGCUUAACACAUGCAAGUCGAACGGAAAGGCCCUGCUUUUGUGGGGUGCUCGAGUGGCGAACGGGUGAGUAACACGCGAGUAACUUGCCCUUGACUUUGGGAUAACUUCAGGAAACUGGGGCUAAUACCGGAUAGGAGCUCCUGCUGCAUGGUGGGGGUUGGAAAGUUUCGGCGGUUGGGGAUGGACUCGCGGCUUAUCAGCUUGUUGGUGGGGUAGUGGCUUACCAAGGCUUUGACGGGUAGCCGGCCUGAGAGGGUGACCGGCCACAUUGGGACUGAGAUACGGCCCAGACUCCUACGGGAGGCAGCAGUGGGGAAUAUUGCACAAUGGGCGGAAGCCUGAUGCAGCAACGCCGCGUGCGGGAUGACGGCCUUCGGGUUGUAAACCGCUUUCGCCUGUGACGAAGCGUGAGUGACGGUAAUGGGUAAAGAAGCACCGGCUAACUACGUG